This 343-nucleotide non-coding RNA is filed under the name Trichomonas vaginalis G3. Its description in RNAcentral is "Bacterial large subunit ribosomal RNA". It matches the Rfam family "Bacterial large subunit ribosomal RNA", at positions 1 to 278 of the family's 2925-position model. The record is from Rfam by way of RNAcentral. Lineage: Eukaryota; Parabasalia; Trichomonadida; Trichomonadidae.
AACCAAGUCUCUAAGCAAUGGAUGUCUUGGCUCCUCACACGAUGAAGAACGUGGCAUAAUGUGUUAAGUAACCGGAGUUGCAAACAUCAUGACAGGUUAAUCUUUGAAUGCAAAUUGCGCUAAACUCGAUCUCGGUCGAGAAGCAUGGGUGUGACAGUACUACAUCUUUUAUAAUAAUUCUUAUUCUAAGCGAAUAAGUAAAUAAUAUAUAAGACAAACAACACGUAGUCUGCCAUACGCAGGAAGACCCGCUGAACUGAAAGCAUCUCAUUAAGCGGAGGAAAAGAAACUAACUAGGAUUCCCUUAGUAAAGGCGAUCGAAAAGGGAACAGCCCAACGUCUU